RNAcentral lists this long non-coding RNA (283 nucleotides) under Piliocolobus tephrosceles (Ugandan red Colobus). RNAcentral describes it as "lncRNA (ENSPTEG00000022351.1)". The record is from RNAcentral. Lineage: Eukaryota; Metazoa; Chordata; Mammalia; Primates; Cercopithecidae.
CGUAGGUGCCGCCGGCGUGUACGUCUUUUUCCAUCUUUGCACGUUUGCUAGGCGGGAUUCUAUAAACCUGGAGAGUAAUCCUAAGAAAAAUCAUCAGAAGAAAGGAAUUUGUAGAACUAAAACUGCAAACAUCCAGAAUCUUGAUGGUGUGCCAAGCCAAAUGUCAACUGGAACUCAACCAAAAACUAAAGUAAGUUUUAGUUUUCUUACAUAUGCCCCUGGUGUGAGUGUCCUGCUCUGUUCAUACAGUGUAAUUCACCAAGGUAAAAACAGCACCAUGUUC